AUACAGAGGGUGCGAGCGUUAAUCGGAAUAACUGGGCGUAAAGGGCACGUAGGCGGUCGUGUAAGAUAGAUGUGAAAGCCCUGGGCUCAACCUGGGAACGGCAUAUGUGACUGCACGACUAGAGUCGAUGAGAGGGUAGUGGAAUUUCUGGUGUAGCGGUGAAAUGCGUAGAGAUCAGAAGGAAGACCGAUGGCGAAGGCAGCUACCUGGCAUCAGACUGACGCUGAGGUGCGAAAGCGUGGGGAGCAAACAGGAUUAGAUACCCCGGUAGUCC
This 274-nucleotide ribosomal RNA is filed under the name uncultured bacterium. RNAcentral describes it as "partial 16S ribosomal RNA". It matches the Rfam family "Bacterial small subunit ribosomal RNA", at positions 523 to 796 of the family's 1533-position model. The record is from RNAcentral.